GGAGCAUUCGUCUAGCGGUUAGGACGCCGCCCUCUCACGGCGGUAACACGGGUUCGAGUCCCGUAUGCUCUA
Molecule: transfer RNA, 72 nt
Filed under: Prevotellaceae bacterium
Lineage: Bacteria; Pseudomonadati; Bacteroidota; Bacteroidia; Bacteroidales; Prevotellaceae
Description: tRNA-Glu
Rfam family: tRNA
About the family: Transfer RNA (tRNA) molecules are approximately 80 nucleotides in length. Their secondary structure includes four short double-helical elements and three loops (D, anti-codon, and T loops).
Source: RNAcentral